AUAUCAAUAAGCGGAGGAAAAGAAACCAACAGGGAUUGCCCUAGUAACGGCGAGUGAAGCGGCAACAGCUCAAAUUUGAAAUCUGGCUCUUUCAGAGUCCGAGUUGUAAUUUGCAGAGGGCGCUUUGGCUUUGGCAGCGGUCCAAGUUCCUUGGAACAGGACGUCACAGAGGGUGAGAAUCCCGUACGUGGUCGCUAGCUAUUGCCGUGUAAAGCCCCUUCGACGAGUCGAGUUGUUUGGGAAUGCAGCUCUAAAUGGGAGGUAAAUUUCUUCUAAAGCUAAAUAUUGGCCAGAGACCGAUAGCGCACAAGUAGAGUGAUCGAAAGAUGAAAAGCACUUUGGAAAGAGAGUCAAACAGCACGUGAAAUUGUUGAAAGGGAAGCGCUUGCAGCCAGACUUGCUUGCAGUUGCUCAUCCGGGCUUUUGCCCGGUGCACUCUUCUGCAGGCAGGCCAGCAUCAGUUUGGGCGGUGGGAUAAAGGUCUCUGUCACGUACCUCUCUUCGGGGAGGCCUUAUAGGGGAGACGACAUACCACCAGCCUGGACUGAGGUCCGCGCAUCUGCUAGGAUGCUGGCGUAAUGGCUGUAAGCGGCCCGUCUUGAAACACGGACCAAGGAGUCUAACAUCUAUGCGAGUGUUUGGGUGUCAAGCCCGAGCGCGUAAUGAAAGUGAACGGAGGUGGGAACCCGCAAGGGCGCACCAUCGACCGAUCCUGAAGUUUACGGAAGGAUUUGAGUAAGAGCAUGGCUGUUGGGACCCGAAAGAUGGUGAACUAUGCUUGAAUAGGGUGAAGCCAGAGGAAACUCUGGUGGAGGCUCGCAGCGGUUCUGACGUGCAAAUCGAUCGUCAAAUUUGGGCAUAGGGCGA
Molecule: small RNA, 867 nt
Filed under: Dichotomophthora lutea
Lineage: Eukaryota; Fungi; Ascomycota; Dothideomycetes; Pleosporales; Pleosporaceae
Description: eukaryotic LSU rRNA
Rfam family: Eukaryotic large subunit ribosomal RNA
Source: RNAcentral